UCCCGUGUGGCUCAGUUGGUAGAGCAUGGUGUUUGCAACGCCAGGGUUAUGGGUUUGAUUCCCACGGGGGAC
Salmo salar (Atlantic salmon) is the source of this 72-nucleotide non-coding RNA. NCBI's taxonomy places the organism in Eukaryota, Metazoa, Chordata, Actinopteri, Salmoniformes, Salmonidae. The record is from Rfam.